CCUACGGGAGGCAGCAGUGAGGAAUAUUGGUCAAUGGGCGAGAGCCUGAACCAGCCAAGUCGCGUGAGGGAGUACUGCCCUAUGGGUUGUAAACCUCUUUUGUCGGGGAGCAAAAGCCGGACGUGUCCGGCUGUGAGAGUACCCGAAGAAAAAGCAUCGGCUAACUCCGUGCAAGCAGCGGCGGUAAUACGGAGGAUGCGAGCGUUAGCCGGAUGUAUUGGGGUAAAUGGGUGCGCAGGCGGAUUUUUAAGUCAGCGGUAAACUCGUGGGGCUCAACCCCAUCCAGCCGUUGAAACUGGGGAUCUAGAGUGUGCGAGAGGUAUGCGGAAUGCGUGGUGUAGCGGUGAAAUGCAUAGAUAUCACGCAGAACCCCGAUUGCGAAGGCAGCAUACCGGUGCACAACUGACGCUCAGGCACGAAAGCGUGGGUAUCGAACAGGAUUAGAUACCCUGGUAGUC
Molecule: ribosomal RNA, 458 nt
Filed under: uncultured bacterium
Lineage: Bacteria
Description: partial 16S ribosomal RNA
Rfam family: Bacterial small subunit ribosomal RNA
Source: RNAcentral